This 261-nucleotide ribosomal RNA is filed under the name Clostridioides difficile. RNAcentral's name for it is "partial 23S ribosomal RNA". It matches the Rfam family "Bacterial large subunit ribosomal RNA", at positions 957 to 1217 of the family's 2925-position model. Lineage: Bacteria; Bacillati; Bacillota; Clostridia; Peptostreptococcales; Peptostreptococcaceae. The record is from RNAcentral.
CGAAUGCCGUCAUCUUAUACUUGGGAGUCAGACUGUGGGUGAUAAGAUUCAUAGUCGAAAGGGCAACAGCCCAGAUCGUCAGCUAAGGUCCCUAAAUGUAAGUUAAGUGGUAAAGGAUGUGGGAUUGCACAGACAACCAGGAUGUUGGCUUAGAAGCAGCCACUCAUUCAAAGAGUGCGUAAUAGCUCACUGGUCGAGUGAUCCUGCGCCGAAGAUUUCCGGGGCUAAAACUUACUACCGAAGCUACGGCAUCAGUAAUGA